AGGCGAGCUGACUCUAGUGGCGGACGGGUGAGUAACGCGUGAGAAUUUGCCUCUAGGUGAGGGACAACAGUUGGAAACGACUGCUAAUACCUCAUAUGCUGAAAAGUGAAAAGGUUACUGCCUAGAGAGAAGCUCGCGUCUGAUUAGCUAGUUGGUAAGGUAAUGGCUUACCAAGGCGAUGAUCAGUAGCUGGUUUGAGAGGAUGAUCAGCCACACUGGAACUGAGAUACGGUCCAGACUCCUACGGGAGGCAGCAGUGGGGAAUUUUCUGCAAUGGGCGAAAGCCUGACAGAGCAAUACCGCGUGAGGGAUGACGGCCUGUGGGUUGUAAACCUCUUUUCUCAAGGAGGAAGACCUGACGUGUACUUGAGGAAUAAGCAUCGGCUAACUCCGUGCCAGCAGCCGCGGUAAGACGGAGGAUGCAAGUGUUAUCCGGAAUUAUUGGGCGUAAAGCGUCUGCAGGUGGUUUAUUAAGUCUGCUGUUAAAUCUUGAAGCUCAACUUCAAACUUGCAGUAGAAACUAAUAGGCUUGAGUAUGGUAGGGGUAAAGGGAAUUUCCAGUGGAGCGGUGAAAUGCGUAGAUAUUGGAAAGACCACCAAAGGCGAAGGCACUUUACUGGGCCAUUACUGACACUGAGAGACGAAAGCUA
RNAcentral lists this ribosomal RNA (650 nucleotides) under uncultured bacterium. RNAcentral's name for it is "bacterial SSU rRNA". It matches the Rfam family "Bacterial small subunit ribosomal RNA", at positions 79 to 762 of the family's 1533-position model. The record is from RNAcentral.